UAGGGAAUAUUGCGCAAUGGACGAAAGUCUGACGCAGCCACGCCGCGUGAGUGAGGAAGGCCUUCGGGUUGUAAAGCUCUGUCGCCUGGGAAAAACGGCUAUCCGGGGAAAGUUCGGGUAGCGUGAUGGUACCAGGAAAGGAAGCACCGGCAAACUCUGUGCCAGCAGCCGCGGUAAUACAGAGGGUGCAAGCGUUGUUCGGAAUUACUGGGCGUAAAGCGUGCGUAGUCGGUAUUGAGAGUCGCGGGUGAAAUCCCAGGGCUUAACCCUGGAACUGCCUGCGAGACCUCAGUACUAGAGUGUGAGAGGGGAUAGUGGAAUACCCAGUGUAGCGGUGAAAUGCGUAGAGAUUGGGUGGAACACCGGUGGCGAAGGCGGCUAUCUGGCUCACAACUGACGAUCAGGCACGAAAGCUGGGGAGCAAACAGGAUUAGAUACCCUUGUAGUCCCUGAGCGGGCUGGCAAGGCGCAU
Molecule: ribosomal RNA, 472 nt
Filed under: uncultured bacterium
Lineage: Bacteria
Description: bacterial SSU rRNA
Rfam family: Bacterial small subunit ribosomal RNA
Source: RNAcentral